Molecule: ribosomal RNA, 467 nt
Filed under: uncultured bacterium
Lineage: Bacteria
Description: partial 16S ribosomal RNA
Rfam family: Bacterial small subunit ribosomal RNA
Source: RNAcentral
GACGAACGCUGGCGGCGUGCUUAACACAUGCAAGUCGAACGGAAAGGCCCUGCUUUUGUGGGGUGCUCGAGUGGCGAACGGGUGAGUAACACGUGAGUAACCUGCCCUUGACUUUGGGAUAACUUCAGGAAACUGGGGCUAAUACCGGAUAGGAGCUCCUGCUGCAUGGUGGGGGUUGGAAAGUUUCGGCGGUUGGGGAUGGACUCGCGGCUUAUCAGCUUGUUGGUGGGGUAGUGGCUUACCAAGGCUUUGACGGGUAGCCGGCCUGAGAGGGUGACCGGCAAAAUGGGGAAUGAGAUAGGGCCCAGACCCUCAGGGGGGGCAGAGGGGGGAAAUAUUGCAAAAGGGGCGGAAGCCGGAUGCAGCAACGCCGGGGGGGGGAUGCGGGCCUUGGGGUUGUAAACCGCUUUCGCCUGUGACGAAGGGUGAGGGAGGGAAAUGGGUAAAGAAGCACCGGCUAACUACGG